AGAGUUUGAUCCUGGCUCAGGAUGAACGCUGGCGGCGUGCCUAAUACAUGCAAGUCGAGCGCCCCUUUGUUUGUUAAUUAUCAUCCGAUAAUUAAUAUACAUGGGGAGCGGCAGACGGGUGAGUAACGCGUGAGAAUCUACCCCAAACUGAGGGAUAAGCCAGAGAAAUCUGGUCUAAUACCGCAUAUGGCCUUCGGGUUAAAGCUUCGGCGGUUUGGGAAGAGCUUGCGUCUGAUUAGUUAGUUGGUAAGGUAAUGGCUUACCAAGACGAUGAUCAGUAGCUGGUCUGAGAGGAUGAUCAGCCACACUGGAACUGAGACACGGUCCAGACUCCUACGGGAGGCAGCAGUAGGGAAUUUUCCACAAUGGACGAAAGUCUGAUGGAGCGACGCCGCGUGCAGGAUGAAGGCCUUAGGGUUGUAAACUGCUUUUAUAGGUGAAGAUUUUGACGGUAACCUAUGAAUAAGGAUCGGCUAACUCCGUGCCAGCAGCCGCGGUCAUACGGAGGAUCCAAGCGUUAUCCGGAAUUACUGGGCGUAAAGAGUUGCGUAGGCGACCUGCCAAGUUUCUACUUAAAGGCUGAGGCUCAACCUCGGAAAUGGUAGAAAAACUGGCAGGAUUGAGAAUGGGAGAGGUAGUUGGAAUUCCCGGUGUAGGAGUGAAAUCCGUAGAUAUCGGGAGGAACACCAAUGGCGAAGGCAGACUACUGGCCCAUUUCUGACGCUGAGGCACGAAAGCGUGGGGAGCGAACGGGAUUAGAUACCCCGGUAGUCCACGCCGUAAACGAUGGAUGCUAGCUGUGGGAGGUAUCGACCCCUUCCGUAGCGAAGCUAACGCGUUAAGCAUCCCGCCUGGGGAGUACGGUCGCAAGAUUAAAACUCAAAGGAAUUGACGGGGACCCGCACAAGCGGUGGAGCGUGUUGUUUAAUUGGAUGAUAAGCCAAGAACCUUACCAGGGUUUGACAUCCCGGGAAAUUCUGGGAAACCAAAGUGUGCCUUCGGGAACCCGGUGACAGGUGUUGCAUGGCCGUCGUCAGCUCGUGUCGUGAGAUGUUGGGUUAAGUCCCGCAACGAGCGCAACCCUUAUGGUUAGUUGAAUUUUUCUAACCAGACUGCCUCGGUAACGGGGAGGAAGGAGGGGAUGAUGUCAGGUCCGUAUUACCCUUACACCCUGGGCUACAAACACGCUACAAUGGCCAGUACAAAGGGCAGCUAAGUCGCAAGGCGGAGCAAAUCCCAUCAAAACUGGUCCCAGUUCGGAUUGCAGGCUGAAACUCGCCUGCAUGAAGUCGGAAUCGCUAGUAACCGUAGGUCAGAACACUACGGUGAAUACGUUCCCGGGUCUUGUACACACCGCCCGUCAUACCAUGGAAGUCGCCAACACCCGAAGUCCGACAUUAGUCGGCCUAAGGUGGGGGAGAUGACUGGGGUAAAGUCGUAACAAGGUA
This 1448-nucleotide ribosomal RNA is filed under the name uncultured bacterium. RNAcentral's name for it is "bacterial SSU rRNA". It matches the Rfam family "Bacterial small subunit ribosomal RNA". The record is from RNAcentral.